AUACGGGAGGCAGCAGUGGGGAAUAUUGGGCAAUGGGCGAAAGCCUGACCCAGCCACGCCGCGUGAGUGAUGAAGGCCUUCGGGUCGUAAAGCUCUGUGGGGGGGGACGAACAAGCCUGGGGCUAAUCACCCGGGCCCUGACGGUACCUCCUUAGCAAGCACCGGCUAACCAUGUGCCAGCAGCCGCGGUAAUACAUGGGGUGCAAACGUUGCUCGGAAUUAUUGGGCGUAAAGCGCGCGUAGGCGGUUACUUAAGUCGGAUGUGAAAUCCCUCGGCUUAACUGAGGAAGUGCACCCGAGACUGAGUAGCUAGAGUACGAAAGAGGGUCGCGGAAUUCCCGGUGUAGAGGUGAAAUUCGUAGAUAUCGGGAGGAACACCGGCGGCGAAGGCGGCGACCUGGUUCGAGACUGACGCUGAGGCGCGAAAGCGUGGGGAGCAAACAGGAUUAGAUACCCGCGUAGUCCA
This 466-nucleotide ribosomal RNA is filed under the name uncultured bacterium. RNAcentral's name for it is "bacterial SSU rRNA". It matches the Rfam family "Bacterial small subunit ribosomal RNA", at positions 339 to 797 of the family's 1533-position model. The record is from RNAcentral.